This is a long non-coding RNA of Frieseomelitta varia, 209 nucleotides long. RefSeq lists it as uncharacterized. The transcript is spliced from 3 exons. Lineage: Eukaryota; Metazoa; Arthropoda; Insecta; Hymenoptera; Apidae. The record is from RefSeq and is a predicted model, not a curated record.
UGGUCACAUGGUGCUACAUUAUGGAACAAUAAAGACAGGAAAAGUCAAUGCCGUUACGUCAUGGGACAGACCAGUAUUCCCAUUUUCUCAUCUACUGCCGGCGAUGGUAUGCCAGUUAGAAUAUUUGUCAGCAACUUAGCACGGAGGACGACAUUCAGAGAUCUUAUAAAAUUAUUUUCCAAGUAUGGAGAAGUGAAGAGUUGUUUCUU